This 253-nucleotide ribosomal RNA is filed under the name uncultured bacterium. Its description in RNAcentral is "partial 16S ribosomal RNA". It matches the Rfam family "Bacterial small subunit ribosomal RNA", at positions 524 to 776 of the family's 1533-position model. The record is from RNAcentral.
UACGUAGGGGGCUAGCGUUGUCCGGAAUCAUUGGGCGUAAAGAGCGCGUAGGCGGCCAGAUAAGUCCGGUGUGAAAGUCAAAGGCUCAACCUUUGAAUGCCGCUGGAAACUGUCUGGCUAGAGUCCGGGAGGGGCGAGUGGAAUUCCUGGUGUAGCGGUGAAAUGCGCAGAUAUCAGGAGGAACACCAAUGGCGAAGGCAGCUCGCUGGAACGGUACUGACGCUGAGGCGCGAAGGCGUGGGGAGCGAACAGG